This 588-nucleotide ribosomal RNA is filed under the name Moenkhausia comma. RNAcentral's name for it is "partial 16S ribosomal RNA". It matches the Rfam family "Bacterial large subunit ribosomal RNA", at positions 1810 to 2607 of the family's 2925-position model. Lineage: Eukaryota; Metazoa; Chordata; Actinopteri; Characiformes; Acestrorhamphidae. The record is from RNAcentral.
AAAACAUCGCCUCCUGCAAAAAUCAACGUAUAAGAGGUCCUACCUGCCCAGUGACUUAGUUAAACGGCCGCGGUAUUUUGACCGUGCAAAGGUAGCGCAAUCACUUGUCUUUUAAAUAAAGACCUGUAUGAAUGGUGAAACGAGGGCUUAACUGUCUCCCUUUUCUAAUCAGUGAAAUUGAUCUACCCGUGCAGAAGCGGGUAUAAGUAUACAAGACGAGAAGACCCUAUGGAGCUUUAGACAUACGGCCAUCCAUGUUAAAAACCCCUAAUAAAAGGAACAAAACAAAAUAGCAAUUGACUAAUGUCUUCGGUUGGGGCGACCACGGGGGAAAAUAAAUCCCCCAUGUGGAAUGGGAGACUCUCCUAAAACCACGAGGUACACCUCUAAGUCACAGAAUUUCUGACCAAGGGAUCCGGCACUUAGCCGAUCAACGAACCAAGUUACCCUAGGGAUAACAGCGCAAUCCCCUUCGAGAGUCCUUAUCGACAAGGGGGUUUACGACCUCGAUGUUGGAUCAGGACAUCCUAAUGGUGCAGCCGCUAUUAAGGGUUCGUUUGGUCAACGAUUAAAGUCCUACGUGAUCUG